Molecule: transfer RNA, 73 nt
Filed under: Glycine max (soybean)
Lineage: Eukaryota; Viridiplantae; Streptophyta; Magnoliopsida; Fabales; Fabaceae
Description: tRNA-OTHER
Source: RNAcentral
UUGUAGUAUAGUGGUAAGUAUUUUUUUUCCUGUCACGCGGAUGACCCGGGUUCGAUCCCCGACAACGGCGCCA